This 253-nucleotide ribosomal RNA is filed under the name uncultured bacterium. RNAcentral describes it as "partial 16S ribosomal RNA". It matches the Rfam family "Bacterial small subunit ribosomal RNA", at positions 524 to 776 of the family's 1533-position model. The record is from RNAcentral.
UACGUAGGGUGCAAGCGUUAAUCGGAAUUACUGGGCGUAAAGCGUGCGCAGGCGGUUAUAUAAGACAGAUGUGAAAUCCCCGGGCUCAACCUGGGAACUGCAUUUGUGACUGCAUGGCUGGAGUGCGGCAGAGGGGGAUGGAAUUCCGCGUGUAGCAGUGAAAUGCGUAGAUAUGCGGAGGAACACCGAUGGCGAAGGCAAUCCCCUGGGCCUGCACUGACGCUCAUGCACGAAAGCGUGGGGAGCAAACAGG